RNAcentral lists this ribosomal RNA (253 nucleotides) under uncultured bacterium. RNAcentral describes it as "partial 16S ribosomal RNA". It matches the Rfam family "Bacterial small subunit ribosomal RNA", at positions 524 to 776 of the family's 1533-position model. The record is from RNAcentral.
UACGAAGGGUGCAACCGUUGCUCGGAAUCAUUGGGCGUAAAGCGCACGUAGGCGGCUCCACAAGUCGGAUGUGAAAUCCCUCGGCUCAACCGAGGACGUGCAUCCGAAACUGCGGAGCUUGAGUAUGGAAGAGGGUCGCGGAAUCCCCGGUGUAGAGGUGAAAUUCGUAGAUAUCGGGAGGAACACCAGUGGCGAAGGCGGCGACCUGGGCCAAUACUGACGCUGAGGUGCGAAAGCGUGGGGAGCAAACCGG